UCUAUUAUCAAUCUUAUUUGGAUUUGUAGGUAUGGGAAAGUGUUCAAAUCCCAUCUGUUCUUCUCUCCUACAAUUGUCUUUUGUGAUCAGAAGCUCAACUACUUUAUCCUUCAAAAAUGAAGAUAGACUGUUCCAAUGCAGUAACCCCAAACCCAUCCAUGGAGUUCUUGGAAAAUAUUCCAUGCUUGUGGAGGUGGGUGACACCAACAAGAGUCUUAGGAGUGUGGCUCUAACUCUUGUUAGCACAACAAAAUCGAAGCCUGAGUAUCUUAAUGGCAUAGAGAGAACCGCUCUCCAGAUCUGUGAG
This is a long non-coding RNA of Telopea speciosissima, 307 nucleotides long. RefSeq lists it as uncharacterized. The transcript has 3 exons. The record is from RefSeq and is a predicted model, not a curated record. NCBI's taxonomy places the organism in Eukaryota, Viridiplantae, Streptophyta, Magnoliopsida, Proteales, Proteaceae.